UUACGGCCAUAUCACAUUGAAACAGCGAUUUCUGUACGAUAACCGAAGUUAAGCAACGUCGUGCCUGUUCAGUACCAAGAUGGGUGACCGCUUGAGAAUAGCAGGUGCUGUAAG
Acanthosepion pharaonis is the source of this 114-nucleotide non-coding RNA. The record is from the annotation of a GenBank genome assembly. NCBI's taxonomy places the organism in Eukaryota, Metazoa, Mollusca, Cephalopoda, Sepiida, Sepiidae.